Long non-coding RNA from Priapulus caudatus, 186 nucleotides. RefSeq lists it as uncharacterized. The record is from RefSeq and is a predicted model, not a curated record. Lineage: Eukaryota; Metazoa; Priapulida; Priapulimorpha; Priapulimorphida; Priapulidae. The transcript is spliced from 3 exons.
AGCCAACCAUGUGGCAAUUAUAGGUGAGCCAUCUACAGAGCUAAUGGAGACGAUGGCCGAUGAGGAGAAGGAGCGUGUUGCAGAGCAACGGAGAAGACUGGGCAAAGCUGGUCUGAAAAAGUUGCACACAAACCUGAUGGAGGCUACUACUGAAAAUGAGGUGGCACCACCAGAAGAAACAAUCAG